RNAcentral lists this non-coding RNA (95 nucleotides) under Steroidobacter denitrificans. Its description in RNAcentral is "c-di-GMP sequence". It matches the Rfam family "c-di-GMP-I riboswitch aptamer". From Rfam's summary of the family: GEMM was predicted in a large-scale screen for bacterial structured RNA regulatory elements. Genes associated with GEMM are involved in a diverse array of functions, including chemotaxis regulation, signal transduction, secretion and chitin. Lineage: Bacteria; Pseudomonadati; Pseudomonadota; Gammaproteobacteria; Steroidobacterales; Steroidobacteraceae. The record is from Rfam by way of RNAcentral.
UCGCUCGAAGGGCAAAGCUGCUGUAAGGCGGUGACGCAAAGCUUCCGGUCAACCGGCCAGCUCACAAUUGAGAUCUAAGUUGUGGGGUUAUUAGA